UACGUAGGGUGCAAGCGUUAAUCGGAAUUACUGGGCGUAAAGGGUGCGUAGGUGGUUAUGUAAGCCAGAUGUGAAAUCCCCGGGCUUAACCUGGGAAUGGCAUUUGGGACUGCAUGGCUAGAGUGAGUCAGAGGGGGGUAGAAUUCCACGUGUAGCAGUGAAAUGCGUAGAGAUGUGGAGGAAUACCGAUGGCGAAGGCAGCCCCCUGGGAUAUCACUGACACUGAAGCACGAAAGCGUGGGGAGCAAACAGG
This 253-nucleotide ribosomal RNA is filed under the name uncultured bacterium. RNAcentral describes it as "partial 16S ribosomal RNA". It matches the Rfam family "Bacterial small subunit ribosomal RNA", at positions 524 to 776 of the family's 1533-position model. The record is from RNAcentral.